ACUUAGUUGGAAUUCACCAUGAACUGCAUCUCGAGGAUCAAGUUUAGGCUCCCCAGUCCAUUGUGACAUCCAGCAAAGUGGAGCCGGGCGCCCCCAGCAUCCCGUCUGUCUGACGCUAAAUGGCGAGGCUCUCCAACCCACUUAGCUCCAAGCUCAACCUUCUGCAAAAGUUCAACCUUCUGCACCACUGGGGAUAUCGUGCAGCUCAGACAUGGUCUUGCUCUGUUGCCCAGGCUGGAGUGCAGUGGCAUGAUCAUAGCUUACUGCAGCCUCAAAUUCCUGGGCUCAAGUGAUCCUCCCACCUCAGCCUCCAGCAUAGCUGAGACUACAGACACAUGCCACCACACCCAGGUGUCUGCAUCCGGGCUCUUUUUUGUAGUUCUGGUCUAUGUACAAGACAGGAAUAAUAGAGUUGGAGAAGACCCUGAGACGAGCAACUGAAACGGUGAAGGGGACGGAAAGCAAGGCGGGAUAUAAGCUAUAUAUAAAAUGAUAACUCUUCAUAUUAAAACUGGCUAAAG
Homo sapiens (human) is the source of this 521-nucleotide long non-coding RNA. Ensembl annotates it as PLS3 antisense RNA 1. Its record names the gene PLS3-AS1. NCBI's taxonomy places the organism in Eukaryota, Metazoa, Chordata, Mammalia, Primates, Hominidae. The record is from Ensembl.